GUCCUGGCCCUAAAACGGUGCGCGUUUGCUGUGAGCGGGGUCGAAUCCGUUCGUGGCGAAGCUAACGCGUUAAACGCGCCGCCUGGGAAGUACGGCCGCAAGGUUAAAAACUCAAAGAAAUUGACGGGGGCCUGCACAAGCGGUGGAGUAUGUGGCUCAAUUCGAUGCAACGCGAAGAACCUUACCUGGCCUUGACAUGCACGUAGUAGAAGGGUGAAAACCUAACGAGGUAGCAAUACCAGCGUGCACAGGUGCUGCAUGGCUGUCGU
This 269-nucleotide ribosomal RNA is filed under the name uncultured bacterium. Its description in RNAcentral is "partial 16S ribosomal RNA". It matches the Rfam family "Bacterial small subunit ribosomal RNA", at positions 793 to 1055 of the family's 1533-position model. The record is from RNAcentral.